Molecule: long non-coding RNA, 1269 nt
Organism: Dicentrarchus labrax (European seabass)
Lineage: Eukaryota; Metazoa; Chordata; Actinopteri; Moronidae
Exons: 2
Source: RefSeq, a predicted model, not a curated record
CAAUGUUUCCUCCAUCCAAUGGCAGCUCUCCACUGUACAGGAAGUCCACUACAGCCGUCAGACCGAUGUAGGACAUCCCAACCAGCUGCACCUGCAGACAGGAAGAGGACAAAGGAGGUUAAUUGCCUCCUAUGUACCUCCUCCUGGCGUUCCUCCCUCAUGCCCAAGGUGAACAUAGCGUAGAAGUACGGGCUGGAGACAGCCAGCAGAGCUCGAUGCGCGGGGAGCCGCUGGUCGUCGGCCACCAGCACCACAUCACAGAACUGGCUGUGCUGCCGCUGCUCAUUGAGGCCCUGCAACACCUCCAAACCUUGUUCCACGCAGCGGAACACCUGCCAACACAACAACACAAUGACAACAAGGCUGGCCCUGUUUACACCUGCCAUUAAAACGCGUCACUGGUGAUUGGAUCAAAAGUGGACAGCUCUACUAGACUGUUGUGACUCCAGAUGUGGCUUCCAGUUGGCUCAGGCUAAUCUGUAGUAAAUUUUUCAGUUGCAUUUAUAAGAGGGACGGACUGAAAACUACACACUGAUCAGAGCCAGCAACAUGUUUGUGUGUGUGACUUUUUUAAAUAAAUGAAUGAAAUAGAAAAAUACAUUGGGUUAUGCUGACUGGUACUGAAGGGAGAGCGGGGUACAGUGUGUCAGAAGUCACAUCAUUCAACUGCAUUAUUCUAUACAUUAUAAUGUAAUAUAAAUGUAACGCUUAAUGUUUUAGAUCAGACUGACUGUCUUUUAGAAGGACCAACUUCCCGAAACUCACAAAGGGGAGUGCCAACACUGUUCCACAGCAGCCACACUGACAAGUGUUUAUCUUUGUUUAUCGGCCCUAUGGGUGCAGACAUCUGCAAAUGCCAAUUAUCUCUAAAUGCCAGAUAAUUAAGUUAUCCUUUAUUGAUUCAUUUGACACAUGUAAUGGCAAUUUUUAAGAACCUAUACAACCCUUUGACCUGGUCAUUGUAAAACCAUACGCAACUGUUGAAGAGGAUAUUAUAUGCAUAUAACCUUUAGCCCUGUUUCUAUCUACACUGCAUGUCCAAGUAAACAGCGGGAUGUUGAGACUUCACUAAGAAGCCAAGGACAUGAUCAUCGCACCACACUAUCUGUCUGUUUACUGUCCCAGAACUCAGGAAUGUGUAACUGUGUUAGAGUGACGCUCCAACAGGGAUAAAACCAUACUGCUUCUUUAACAUUCGAUAGUGUGUGACGGCUGCGCUGACUCUAUUAAUGGAUGACUUGAAUAAAACCUUACAGAAAGACAAGAUCA